AACUUCGGAGAAAAAAUCCGCACAUAUAUCGUCACAUUACUCUGGGUGCUUGAAGGUUUAUUUAAUUACCUAAUAAGUGGAGAAUGCGGAUAUAUGGAGGCCUAAC
This 106-nucleotide small RNA is filed under the name Acinetobacter qingfengensis. RNAcentral describes it as "t44 RNA". It matches the Rfam family "t44 RNA". Rfam says of the family: This family consists of a number of bacterial RNA genes of between 135 and 170 bases in length. The record is from Rfam by way of RNAcentral. Lineage: Bacteria; Pseudomonadati; Pseudomonadota; Gammaproteobacteria; Moraxellales; Moraxellaceae.